AAACUUUCAACAACGGAUCUCUUGGUUCUGGCAUCCAUGAAAAACGCAACCAAAUGCCAUAAAUAAUGGGAAUUGCAAAAUUCCGUGAAUCCUCCAAUCUUUGAACGCACAUUGCGCCCCUUGGUAUUCCCAGGGGCAUGCCUGUUCCAGCGUCAUUU
RNAcentral lists this ribosomal RNA (158 nucleotides) under Clypeosphaerella calotropidis. RNAcentral describes it as "5.8S ribosomal RNA". It matches the Rfam family "5.8S ribosomal RNA". From Rfam's summary of the family: 5.8S ribosomal RNA (5.8S rRNA) is a component of the large subunit of the eukaryotic ribosome. It is transcribed by RNA polymerase I as part of the 45S precursor that also contains 18S and 28S rRNA. Functionally, it is thought that 5.8S rRNA may be involved in ribosome translocation. Lineage: Eukaryota; Fungi; Ascomycota; Dothideomycetes; Mycosphaerellales; Mycosphaerellaceae. The record is from RNAcentral.